AGCCCCAGGUGCAUCUGGCACCCAGGAGUACCCUGUUUUAGGAAUCCCUGACUAGUCUAGGUUGAGCUUCAGUGGAACCUCACCUCCAGGUAAGCUUCCGCUUCAGGCCGAGGGAGCUUCUUCCCUAGGAAACGGCAGAAGGCCAUGCUGGGAGUGGAGCCAUAGGAGGGAAGGUGACACUCGAGUCGCUGAUGUUCCCAUGGUUCAGCAGAAAAGAUCAUCAGCAGCAGUAAAAUAGGCAGAGCUGGAUGGAGAAGGCAAUGCAUCGGUGUGGAACUUUUCUAUGUAGAACACCAGUCUGGCAGCUGGGGUGGUGGUGGUAAAUGCCUUUAACCCCAGCACUUGGGAAGCAGAGACAGGCCUGCUUUGGAAUCCCACCUUAAGGUUUUAAAAUAUCCAAUAAAAUUGUAAGCUGCCAUAUAUGGAAGACAAGGAAUCAAAGGCCAUAUAAAAAAGUCCCAAUUGAGCUGGGCAGUGGUGGUGCACCCAUUUAAUCCCAGCACUUGGGAGGUAGAGGCAGAUGGAUCUCAGCCUGGCCUACAAAGUGAAUUCUGGGACAUCCAGGACUGUUACACAAAGAAACCCUGUCUUGAAAAACCGAAAAGAAAAAGAAAAAAAAAAAGUCCCAUCUCUUCCCCGCCCCCCUUUUAAGCAAGAGUUUCACUGAGACUGCUUGG
Long non-coding RNA from Mesocricetus auratus (golden hamster), 677 nucleotides. RefSeq lists it as uncharacterized. Lineage: Eukaryota; Metazoa; Chordata; Mammalia; Rodentia; Cricetidae. The transcript has 3 exons. The record is from RefSeq and is a predicted model, not a curated record.